Molecule: long non-coding RNA, 282 nt
Organism: Balaenoptera ricei (Rice's whale)
Lineage: Eukaryota; Metazoa; Chordata; Mammalia; Artiodactyla; Balaenopteridae
Exons: 3
Source: RefSeq, a predicted model, not a curated record
CCUGCCACCUCUGGGAAGCCGUCUGAUCCCCUUGCCCUCAUCACGCCCACAGCACCUACAUCUUGCAUUGUACUGAUUCCUCUGAAUGCCUUCUGCCCAUGGCCUCUGGAAGCUUGCCUGAGUGAAAUAGCUGCCUCGUAAGAACUCCAGACGACACUUCACAGCCCUGAAGCAGAGGGAAGGCCCCAGGCUCAAAGUCGUGCUGUUUGUUCUCAGUCAGAGAAAAUUCUCACUGGAGAUGGUCACCCCAACUCAGGGUAUUCGACCCCUGGCCGGCAGGGA